GAUUUCAAUCUGCCUACAACCAUAUGUUCGACACAAUCGAUGAAAGCCCACGGAUUGACUCCAGUUUGGGAAGAAUCGAUACCGAGGAUCUCAUUAAAGUCAGCAUGGACGCAUACGACCAUCACAAAUACAACAUUGAUAUAGAAUUUGAAGAUAUAGUCCCAUUUAAACCGGAAGUGGUUCCCCAGCCGGAAGAGACGGCUCCUCAGAACAGCAACCUUAAUAGGUUGAUAAACAUUUCUGAUUGCACCUUGCACAUCGCGAUGAACUAUCGAGGUCAGCGGGUGUUUGACAGAGUGUGCACGGGCCCAGAAGGAUGUCACAUAUUCUACAACAGCUGUCGCGGUGACACGGCGCAUUCAAAUGCCAUGGAUAAGGGUUUAACAUUACAGAUGAAAAGUGGAAGCAUAUAUGCCAUAAGGAGGGGCAGGUGCCGCAUAUACGUGUCAACACCGUCUUGGAAUAACGGCGGGUUGUUAAGACUUGACAGAGACGUGGAGACUAACAUCUUUGACGUGGACAACUACUUCAAGCCAGCUUUGACCAAGUACAUGCACCAAAAAGGCCCCAUGCCUUUGGUAGAGGUGAUCAUUUCAUUUGGUCGCAGUUCUCGAGUCACGAAUCCUUUAACGAUCUCCUCAUCGCCGCCAAAGUGGUCCACGCAGAGGCGCAGAAUCUUCUCACCAUAGUGUGUUCGUCUUAGGAAAACGGGAUUUAAUGCAAAUGCGUAAAAUAUCGUUCCAUAAUAGCCUGUUAAGUCAAUACAGGCUAAUCACGGACGACAAUAUCCGCUUGUAUGGUAUUGCUUUGUUUAAAGAAAGCCAUUCUUAACGAAAAUCCAGUUUAGGCAGAAGUGUCUCUCAUAAGCCUUUGUGGACUGCACAGGCUAAUAUUGGACGACACUUUGCGUACAUUCAUUAAGCCCCGUAUUCAAAGAGCUCGGCCCAUUCACAUCUUUGUGAUAAUUUUAAUGAGUCACAAUUUUAAUGAGUCAAUUUGCGGUAACAAAUAGAGAUUGCAUUGUUAGUUCAAAAGAUUGAAAUGUUUUACAAUCGGGCAAAAUGGUGCAUGCAUACGAAGAUGCAGUGUUGAUAUAAAAAAUUAAUUACGAUUAUCAUGUAUUUAUAAAAAUGUGUACAAUGUAUAUGCAUUUUUAAGUUAUAUUUUACACAUAGUGAUGCUACUAACGUUAAAAUAGUGCUUUAACUGCAAUGCGUAUUAUACAUUUAAUAUUAUUAUAAUGAUUUUAAGGGCAAUUAAUUGUACAAUACAGAAAGUUCCUACGCUUCAUGACUCCUGUGAAAAAUGUCAUCUAUCAUGUAUGCAAUAUCAAUAUUAAAUACCAUUAUACAAGAUAUGACGACAUGUAUAUCAUUACAAACAAACGUUUAAAGGAGAUUUGUAACAAUAACUUCCUUGUUUCUUAUUAAGAUGAACUGUUGUCACAUUGUAAAACCUAUUAUGUCAGACUUACUACCCGGUAUACAAAUUACAAUUAUUUGUGAGCACUCCUGCAAUUAUUCAUACUGAUAUCUAUCAUUUGUUACCACAUUUGUGCUUAUUUCUCAUUAUGUGUAAAAUGUAUGAACUCUGUAGUGAUAUUUCCAUAUUCUAGCUGUCAUUUGUGAACACUGUGUAAUAAUGAAUGAUUUUAGCUUCCAUUUAUGAACAGUCGAGUGAAUAUAUGUUGGUAUAGCUAUAAUUUGUUAACCUUUGUGUCAAUAUUUCUGAGAAUAGCUAUCAUUUGUGAACACUUUUGCAAUUAUUGCAGAUUAGAGCUGUGAACAGUAAGUUCGUUAUUUUUUAAUAUACGAGUCGCAUUGUGAGAAAACUGGGCAUAAUGCAUGUGUGUAAAGUGUUAUCCCACAUUAGCCUGUGCAGUCCACACAGGCUAAUCAGGGACGACACUUUCUGCCUUAAUUGGAUUUUUGCUAAGAGACUUCAUUUAAACGAAAAAUGUCAUAAAGCGGAAAGUUUCGUCCCUGAUUAGCCUUUGCGGACUGCACAGGCUAAUCUUGAACGACACUUUACGCACAUGCAUUAAACCCAGUUUUCUCAGAACGCGUCUAAUAUCUACCAUUUGUGAACUCUCUGUGUGAUUAUAUCCCAUUUAUAGCUAUCAAUUGUGAACACUUGUGUCAUUAUUAUUGAUGAUACAUAUCACUUGCUGUGAUUUUCUCUGAUUAAUAGAAGUCUAUAUAUUACACAAUAGCAGAUGUGCUAUGAGUUUUAGAUAAUAUUUAUUAAGGUUCCAAAGUAUCUGUUACACAUAACUUACUGCUUUACUACAAUACAAUAUGCAAAUAUAAAAAACAUCAAUCGGAUGGACAGUUAAAAUAGAAAAUAUAAGCAAGUUAACUGCCAAGUAAUUGCAUUGUUAAGUUGAUAAACAUGUUAGUCAAGGUCAACUUGUGAUGUAAGAUGUAUAAAGUCGAGUUUACUCUUUCCCUCAUAAGGACCACAGUGAAAAUGGCUUAUUCAACCAGCAUAAAACCAGAUAAGCCUUGAGUAACUUGCAGUCUGUUCAGGUUUUAUUCUGUUUUGCUACUUAUCAGUGACUAAGGGUUUGCAAUGAAGCCUUUACACUUGAAUCUAGUAAGAAAGGUAUUUAAUUAAAUGUAACUUUCUGAGGGACAACAAAUGCCUCAAAAUAUGUAUCAUAGUGGUAAAGGGUUAAAGAGAGAAGUUAAUCAGAACUCAACA
Molecule: RNA transcript, 2703 nt
Organism: Dreissena polymorpha
Lineage: Eukaryota; Metazoa; Mollusca; Bivalvia; Myida; Dreissenidae
Gene name: interferon regulatory factor 4-like
Exons: 7
Source: RefSeq, a predicted model, not a curated record